GACGUAGGGGGCGAGCGUUGUCCGGAAUUACUGGGCGUAAAGAGCACGUAGGCGGAGACUUAAGUCAGGUGUGAAAGACCGGGGCUCAACCCCGGGGUGGCACUUGAAACUGGGUCCCUUGAGGGCAGGAGAGGAAAGUAGAAUUCCUGGUGUAGCGGUGAAAUGCGUAGAAAUCAGGAGGAAUACCAGUGGCGAAGGCGACUUUCUGGACUGACCCUGACGCUGAGGUGCGAAAGCGUGGGUAGCAAACAGGAUUAGAUACCCUGGUAGUCCACGCCGUAAACGAUGGAUACUAGGUGUGGGAGGUAUCGACCCCUUCCGUGCCGCAGCUAACGCAAUAAGUAUCCCGCCUGGGGAGUACGGUCGCAAGGCUGAA
Molecule: ribosomal RNA, 376 nt
Filed under: uncultured bacterium
Lineage: Bacteria
Description: bacterial SSU rRNA
Rfam family: Bacterial small subunit ribosomal RNA
Source: RNAcentral